This 2526-nucleotide long non-coding RNA is filed under the name Homo sapiens (human). RNAcentral describes it as "HSALNT0276536". Lineage: Eukaryota; Metazoa; Chordata; Mammalia; Primates; Hominidae. The record is from RNAcentral.
CCUCCGGCUACAAUGAUUGGUCAGAAUCAAGCCCUUGACUGAAACCAACCAGUCACAGCUAAUGAGAUUAAUCAUCAAUGAAUAUUAGCUAGUGUUACUGCUCCAUUAUUGUGGCAAAUGUUAACUCCAUCCCCCACCCACAGCCGGGUCUUGGUAGGGAGAGGGUGAAAUGAUGGACUAGGAGAGAUUUGGGUUCCUUGGACAGAUCUUGCCUUUUCCAGCAAGCUAUGGGCCCCUGGCCCUCACCUCCCGCUUCUCAGUUUCUUCACCUGGAAAAUGAAGAUGACUAAGGAACCUGGGCCUUGGAAGGUUCUGGGAAUUCAGUGGAGUCAGAUUUAAAUAGAUUUUACUGCGACAGGGGAGACCCCACCAAGCAGGGCCAAUAUAUGUGGUCCCAGGAGGUCAAGAAAUGGUGACUUUCCGUAUCCACUCCCGUCUUUCACUGCACGAAGCCCUCGGAAGAUUAUUCUAUAGCAGUACGAUGACAGCAUCCUCCUUCUAGGAACUACAUCGUCUUCCGUCUCUGGAUGUGCCAUCUUUUACUCAGCUAGUCUACAUCUCAGGUGUUCCCCAUCUUCUGCACACAAGUAUUUGCACAUGCGUGCACGUUCUUCAUUUGUGUAUUAUCUACGGCCCAGUUCUUGCUGCAGCAGCGGAAUCGAGAAGCUGCGGGAGAGACCCCGCAGCCUGCAAAGCUGAAAAUAUUUACUUCCUGGCCAUUCACAGAAAAUGUUUGCCAACCCAUGACCUAAAGCAUCAUCUCUCAGAGGGUUGGGAAGGAACCUGGAAGCUGUCCCAUUCAGAGGCGGGAGCUUCAACGGGACCCUGCGUCUUCUGCCUCCAAGGCCUGUGGUAGGGGCUGUCACAGGCUGCAGAGGAGUCCAGGAGGGAGAUGCUACAGGUAAGGCAGGAGGAUGGAGAAGAGAGAACAGACUUGAACUAGACUUAGGGUCACACCAGCAGCUGUGAGCAGCUGACGAGUGUUCCAGUGCAAGGAGAGGAGGGUGCAAGAGCCAGGGAUUAUACACUGAUUAGCCUCCAUCACCGCAGAAAUUAUCUUGCCUGUGCAUGGUGCGAGGGUCUGGAACAUACAUUUAACCAAGGCAAGGAGCGAAGUGAGAGGAAGCAAUAUUGUGGAUUGCAGGAGGUGAUGGAUGAGAUGAGAGAAGAAUCUGCAUGGUCAGAAUCUGUUUGGCAUCGGAAGGGAAGUACCCAGGAAAUUUGAGGAUCGCCUCGUCCAGUUGUCUGUGGAACUGAACUGUGAGUUGUCCAUGAGGGAUGAAUGGCAAUGCCAAUGUUUCCAGAGUUUCUGUCAUGAGGUCUCCUGGCUUGGAGAUGGAGAGGGCACACACAGGUUUCGGAUUCAAGCCUGCAGGACAGUCCUGGCUGCACCACUCAGGAACCCUGGGUGAGUCUCUUUACCCCUCACAGCCUCAGUUUUCCCUUCCUGGAAAUGGGACCACAAUCCAAACCUUGUAGAACUGCUUCAAAGAUGAAAGGAGACAUCGCAUGUGAGAUGCCGGCCCAUAGGAGCCAGGGCACGAAAGGCAGCUCCGCAUUGGGUCCCCAAAAAGUCUCCGCAGGUUGGCAGCCAAGAGAGCUACCAUUUCUUUGUUUGGAGAGAUUCCACUCCCUGGAAAGGGUAAUCCUGCAGGAAAGGAGGAGGGAGUCGUUCCAGAGUUUGGGAGAUGUCGGCUUUGACUCUGAGUGAUGCCGCCUCAAACACUUACUGUCAUACAGGAAGUUACUCAAACACAAUCAAUUAGACACCCAUAUUAGCAUAUUUGUCAUUGUAAUACAGCCGCAGAGAGGAGAUGCUGGAGACUGUUUAUUGCUGUUCUGAGCUAAUAUUUAUUAAAGUGAUUAAUAUGUUUUUCAAAUAUCUGUGACAGGCGUGGCAGGAAUUACUGAUCUCCUCCCUCGAGAGCCUGAAAGGGUGAGGGGUGGGAGUCACUUAGAGAGGGGCGGCAGGUAGGGGCCUUGGGGCCUCAGGGGACCGUGUCCUCCUCUGGGGCCCCUUUCCUGCUCGGGCCUCCUGCCUUCCAUCUUCCCCUGUCUCCUCCACCUUCAACUUCCCCUGUCUCCUCUCCUCCACCUUCAACUUCCCCCUCUACUGACCGUUCCCAUCGGCAUUCUGAGACAUCUCCCACCAUGACAAAUAGAGACCUCCCAGGAUGCCCUGUCCCCCUGCUCCUUCCUGGACCCCCUCAUCCCCAGCCAUUCUGCCAUCUUCCUCCUUCCCUCCAUAGCCAAACUCUUCAAAAGAACUCUUUUCCCUCCCUACCUCCUUUGCUCAUCUUCCAGUCUCUGCUUUUUAAAAAUCAUUACAAAAAAUUAAAAGUGGCUGGGCGCGGUGGCUCACACCUGUAAUCCCAGUACUUUUGGAGGCCAAGGCGGGAGGGAAUAACCUGAGGUCAGGAGUUCGAGACCAGCCUGGCCAACAUGGUGAAACCCUGUCUCUAUUAAAAAUACAAAAAUUAGCAGGGUGUGGUAGCUGGUGCCUGUAAUCCCAGCUACUCAGGAGGC